AGCACCUUCGAGAAUCUCUCUCUCUCUCUCUCUCUCUCUCUCUUUUGUAGUGCUGUCUGCUCAUCUCCUUUCAACUUCUAUCAGCCAUCUUUCAUCUCAGGAUCAUGUUCCAGGCACGUUCUCUCUCUCUCUUCUCUAAUCAAUUUUCUUACCAAUGAUCAUAUGAUGUUUUGUUGCUAUAACUUCUAUUACGUAGUAUUUUGCCUCUCUCUAGCUAUCAAUUUUCUUACUACGUUUUUGUUUUUUCUUUUCAUUUUUUUAGGUAACCAUGUUGUAUACUAGAAUAAGAUCAAUCCAUCAUGUAAAAGAUUGGAUCGGCUUAGGAAUAGGUACGACAAUUUUACUUUGGAAUAGUAAAUAAGUAGGUUCGUACAAUAUUUUUACUAUCUGUGAGUUCAGGUUAGAAAAUUCAAAUAAACGUUACUUAUUUUCUAUUUUGAUUAAUAUUCUAAAAUAUUUGAAAGUAAUUUAUUUAUUUUUUUAAAAAUUACAUAUGUAUAUUUCUAAUUAUAAUUAGUACUAUAACUAAUAUUAAUAUUGUAUUUUUUAUUAAGUCAAUAGAAUGUUAUAGUUCUUACUUAUAUUUAGUUUCAAAACUAAAAAAAAAAGCAAAAUAAUAUUCUAAAAUCAAAAUGAUAUUUAAGUGGGUCCGAGUAUUAAAUGAACAAUUGUGAUUGAAUUUGAAAAAUAUUUCAAUAAUAAAUAAAUUUUUAAACGGGGUGGAAAUUAAUUCAGUUAUCUAAAUAGUAGAUUCAACUAGAUAUCCAAUCCGUUGCUAACCUAUUAGGAGCUUCAAUUUUGAACUGAAUUGAAAUUAAGCGUGGGGUUCGAAGCCAACAAGUCCAAAAUAAUGUGUCAUCAUACGCACAAACAUUCCAAGGACACAUGAUGUCCUAAGUUGAUACUUGAUGGAACUAUAUCCAAGUCUCGUGAUAAUUUAAAAUAAUUUAAAUUUAUAUUACAAAUGAUACAAAUAAAAAUAUACUUGUUAAUUAGGUGAUGAUCUUAUUGAUUUUUUUCACUUACGUGAAAAAAGAGAUAUCUCGAAUUUAAAUUCUCUCGACUAUAAUUGUUUUCCUCUCUGAUGUGUAGCCUGCACCAAAUUGGCGAAAAACUAGUGGUAAAAAAAGCUCUUAUAAAUAUAACUUAUUACAUUCUUUCGCCAUUUUCUUUAUAAAAAUACUCCAUAGUCUAUGAUUAUAAAACAUGGAAGGCAAAAACAUUAGACAUUCAUAGAUUAUUUAUAGUAUGAAGCUUUUAAAUUCUAAAUUGAACAAAACUGAAUAAGAUCAAAAUAAAAAAAAAAAAAUCGAAGAAUCAAAUUUCUGAACUGAAUUUUUAAGACAAUUCUGUUCCAGAUCUUUAAACCUUCAUAUGUACUUUCAAUUUUCUCUAGAAUGGAAAUUCAAUUCAGUCCCAAAACUUUUCGAAAUGUAAACUAGACUCGAUCGAAGACAAAUCCUAUCUAGACUCAUCUCUAGCCAAGUUAUAUAUACACUAUAAUAAGCCAGCAAGUGCAUAAUGUUAACAUCUUUAAAAAGCAACAUUACCACAAAAUCUCCAGAUACUCUAUUAACACAUCUUAUUCUCUGCCUGCCUGAAGAAGCAUUGAAGAAAACAAAUUUACAAAAUAUAUAUAUAUAUAUAUAUAUAUAUAUAUCUAUUUUUUUUUUUUUUUGAGAAAAAAAUGUACAUCUCAAAUAAAUACAAUUGUGCCUCUCCUUUCGUAUAUGCGUUGAUGGUGGCUUUACAACUUUCUCAUAAUGUUCAUCAUAAAGGCAAUCCUUGCCUAUUACUAUUUAUUCUGAAUACAUUCCACCAAUCUUCUCAGCUAGUUUGGGAUUUUGGCUUAGUUGUUGUUGGUAUAUAUUUGACAUAUCUUCAGUUAUUCUUUGCCAAGUUACUAAAUGUUAUAAUCAUAAAGUGCCACAUCGUUACGAUGACAAAUCAAUAAACCCUGCAACAUUAAGGAAAAUAAUUUAUGUUCUCUUCUUGACGUCCAUGCUUGCCUCAAACAAAAGAGGGACAAAAACCAAAAUUGAGUUCCGUACCUGUAAAAAUGGGGGGUUCAUUGACAACUAGCUUAUGUGAGAUUCGACCCAAUUUUUGCUGGUCUAAGACUCUUUUGAGCCCUUCGUGCGUGGUCAAAUACAAAAAUGAAGAGACUACAUACGUAUAAUAGGCAUAACCGUAGCUUUCCUAUUAUACCACAGGUUAAGUGGACAUUGUUUCCAUCCUCUGCGCGAACUAAUAUAUCUCCCUUCAAACAGCCUGACAACAAACAUUAAACAAUAAAUAAAAAUCAUCACAUGAUCUCAUAAAGAAAGUAGUACAGGGUUGUGUAGCAAUGUGGAUACAGCUAACUACUGACUGUCCAAGAAGAUAUCAGAACUCUUCAACAAGUUUCUAACAGGAAUAUAUUAUCAGCAGUGUUUUUUAUCCUAGCCCUUUUCUAUCUUGAGCUCCCUAAACACAAAGCAUAUCAAAAUUGUUUACCAAGAAGGCAGGCAUUUCCUUCUUGGAAGAAUACUAGGGUGUUGCAGCACUGAAAUACAUGGGAUUUCAUGAAAUUCCAAGAUUUACAACAUCUAUAUCCUCUUCCUUGGCCCUACUUAAGAAUGAAAAUAAAAUCAGGAAGGGGAUGCUUAAGCAUUGGCCUUAUGGCACAUUUAUAUGUCUCCUAUGAUAGAAGCCUAGGUUUUCAAACUCAAAUAUUAUAAAUAAUUCAGCUAAAAACCAAGUAUCAUGUAGAUGCUCAAUAUUGCGCUUUAUAUUCAUCACUGUAAGCUUUCCCCAGCCCUUUCUCAUCAAUGGACUCCUGAUAUAUACGAGGGAGUGCGGCUUCGAGAAAUUCCUACUUCUCUAUCCAUUGCUGAGAUGCUUGGAUUUUCCAAAACUCCAUGGACAUACAGAAGAGAAAUGCUAUCCCCACUCGGACCAAGACAUAACUUUUACUUGUUAAAAUAGUUGGACAUAAUAGUUGUGACUUAGGAAUAAGUCCUCUUUAAGAGAUGCUUAGGACACAAUAACUCAAUUAUGCAGGAAGAAUGUAGCACCGUCUUAUCUUAACUUUAAGUUGGUUUAUCAGUCUAUGCCAGCAUGUAAAAGAAAACAAUUAACGGAAUGAUGCUUAGGACACAAUAACUCAAUUAUGCAGGAGGAAUGUAGCACCGUCUUAUCUUAACUUUAAGUUGGUUUAUCAGUCUAUGCCAGCAUGUAAAAGAAAACAAUUAACGGAAUGCAUCAAGAGGUGAUGUACUAAUCUCAGAUGUGCAAUUGAGGUUUUUUGUUUGGGAUAAUUAUUAUUUUAUCCGUAUAUUUUACCAAAAUUUACUACUUUGUCUUUGUAAUUUUUAAAAAUAGACUAUUUUACCAAUAACUUCUGCAACCAUCCAACAUUUCGGUCCUUUUUCUUUUUAAGCUUUUAACUGUUAAUUCAUACAAAAAAAAGAAGCCCCAAACAUAACCACUCUUUUUUCUCUCUGAAACCAUGAGUCUCGCUUGCUUCUUCAUACUUUGGCUCCAAAUCCUAGCAUUCAUUUCUAAAAGUUCCCUCUCCUUUCACUCCAUCUCCACCAUUGAUCCAGUUGCAAAUUUGCAAUCAUUAAACUCCAUUUACAGAGAAAGAGAGAUCAUUAACCAAAUUAAAAAGAAAGUAACAACAAUAGUUAAAACUCUUUGCAGAAAUUAGUUUUUUUUAUUAAUUUUAUCACAAUAAUGGCAGCAGAAGCAAAGGGGUUGAAGGUGAAAGCAGGGCUGAGAUUGUGGAUUUGGGGAGCUCUCGCUUUGAAGUUGCAUGUGGACCUUAAUUAGAUCAAGAGGGUGAGUAGAGCAGCUAUUAACAGUUGAAGCAAUCCCUUCAACAAAACCUUUGAUACCCAUGGCUAGUAGUUCUC
RNAcentral lists this long non-coding RNA (3896 nucleotides) under Jatropha curcas. RNAcentral's name for it is "long non-coding RNA (JCUR_LNC000252)". The record is from RNAcentral. Lineage: Eukaryota; Viridiplantae; Streptophyta; Magnoliopsida; Malpighiales; Euphorbiaceae.